Molecule: ribosomal RNA, 447 nt
Filed under: uncultured bacterium
Lineage: Bacteria
Description: partial 16S ribosomal RNA
Rfam family: Bacterial small subunit ribosomal RNA
Source: RNAcentral
UGCCAGACUCCUACGGGAGGCAGCAGUGGGGGAUAUUGCACAAUGGGGGGAACCCUGAUGCAGCGACGCCGCGUGGGUGAAGAAGCGCCUCGGCGCGUAAAGCCCUGUCAGCAGGGAAGAAAAUGACGGUACCUGACUAAGAAGCCCCGGCUAACUACGUGCCAGCAGCCGCGGUAAUACGUAGGGGGCAAGCGUUAUCCGGAUUUACUGGGUGUAAAGGGAGCGUAGACGGCGGCGCAAGUCCGGAGGGAAGGCCCACGGCCCAACCGUGGAACUGCUCGGGAAACUGUGCGGCUUGAGUGCGGGAGGGGCAGGCGGAAUUCCUAGUGUAGCGGUGAAAUGCGUAGAUAUUAGGAGGAACACCGGCGGCGAAGGCGGCCUGCUGGACCGUAACUGACGUUGAGGCUCGAAAGCGUGGGGAGCAAACAGGAUUAGAUACCCUUGUAA